Molecule: ribosomal RNA, 253 nt
Filed under: uncultured prokaryote
Description: partial 16S ribosomal RNA
Rfam family: Bacterial small subunit ribosomal RNA
Source: RNAcentral
UACAGAGGUCUCAAGCGUUGUCCGGAUUUAUUGGGUUUAAAGGGUGCGUAGGCGGUUCUAUAAGUCAGUGGUGAAAUACGGCAGCUCAACUGUCGAGGUGCCAUUGAUACUGUAGAACUUGAGUACAGACGAGGUAGGCGGAAUUGACGGUGUAGCGGUGAAAUGCUUAGAUAUCGUCAAGAACACCGAUAGCGAAGGCAGCUUACUAGGCUGUAACUGACGCUGAGGCACGAAAGUGUGGGGAUCAAACAGG